RNAcentral lists this microRNA precursor (94 nucleotides) under Branchiostoma floridae (Florida lancelet). RNAcentral's name for it is "mir-2060 microRNA precursor family". It matches the Rfam family "mir-2060 microRNA precursor family". Lineage: Eukaryota; Metazoa; Chordata; Leptocardii; Amphioxiformes; Branchiostomatidae. The record is from Rfam by way of RNAcentral.
AAAUGUUUGUAUGUGGAUGGUGUUAAGCACGAGGGACCGAUCUGUUUGACUGUGUAUGGAUGAUAUUCAGCACCAAGGACAGGUAUGAUUGUGC